Salmo salar (Atlantic salmon) is the source of this 54-nucleotide non-coding RNA. The record is from Rfam. NCBI's taxonomy places the organism in Eukaryota, Metazoa, Chordata, Actinopteri, Salmoniformes, Salmonidae.
GAAUUAACUGACUGUAAGUCGCUCUGGAUAAGAGCGUCUGCUAAAUGACAAAAA